This 253-nucleotide ribosomal RNA is filed under the name Burkholderiales bacterium. RNAcentral's name for it is "partial 16S ribosomal RNA". It matches the Rfam family "Bacterial small subunit ribosomal RNA", at positions 524 to 776 of the family's 1533-position model. RNAcentral also lists the same sequence under 4 other names. Lineage: Bacteria; Pseudomonadati; Pseudomonadota; Betaproteobacteria; Burkholderiales. The record is from RNAcentral.
UACGUAGGGUGCAAGCGUUAAUCGGAAUUACUGGGCGUAAAGCGUACGCAGGCGGCUUUGCAAGACAGGUGUGAAAUCCCCGGGCCUAACCUGGGAACUGCAUUUGUGACUGCAUAGCUAGAGUCUGUCAGAGGGGGGUGGAAUUCCACGUGUAGCAGUGAAAUGCGUAGAGAUGUGGAAGAACACCGAUGGCGAAGGCAGCCCCCUGGGAUGAGACUGACGCUCAUGUACGAAAGCGUGGGGAGCAAACAGG